This 236-nucleotide long non-coding RNA is filed under the name Zostera marina. Its description in RNAcentral is "long non-coding RNA (ZMAR_LNC002727)". The record is from RNAcentral. Lineage: Eukaryota; Viridiplantae; Streptophyta; Magnoliopsida; Alismatales; Zosteraceae.
AUCCGCACUCCACUUACCCUGAUUUUGCUUAAAUCCUAAUCCUUUUCUAAGUCGCCGAGCUUCUUCAUAACUCGCCGACUUUCAUCACAAUCACCAGUACUCUUUCCAAAGUCGCCGAGUCUACACCUACAUCGCCGACAUAUGGCAGACCAACCGUCACUACCUAGACUUACCAUGUCGGAGACCGAGGCUCUGGUCGUCGACAUUUUGAACGAAGACAUUGAUGAAGGCCUGAC